Molecule: long non-coding RNA, 572 nt
Filed under: Ananas comosus (pineapple)
Lineage: Eukaryota; Viridiplantae; Streptophyta; Magnoliopsida; Poales; Bromeliaceae
Description: long non-coding RNA (ACOM_LNC013155)
Source: RNAcentral
AUUGUCGCAUCUAUAGAUCCAACGUAACUCAAGCGUAUCGGUGUUUAAGUUUUUCUGAAAUGUGAUUAUUUUUUUGUUGUUUGUUUUGGCGUAACUCGUGCAAUUUGAAAGUUAAAUUUAAUUACUUUUUCUAUUUAUUUUAAUGUAAUUUGGUGUUGGUGAAAUUAGUUUUUUAAGUUCAAUUAUUUGUUUUGAUGUAAGUAAAUGGAUCACGUUAUCUUCUGAAUAUAGUGAUAAACUUGCACCUAUAAAAUUUAACCUAUUAAAUAAUUAAAAUUUUUAUUAUUAUUUAAAGGUAAUCUUAAUUUAUUAUAAAAAAGAUAAUUUUAACCCAUUAUAAAGAGAGUGGAGUUUAGGUUUUACUAUUUAAUAAACUUUUUAGAAAAGGUUGAGUGCGGCGGAAGUUGAGUUAGAUACUUUAGAGGGAAAAGUCAAGAGUAGGUGAAGUGUAGAUCUAACAUAACUUGAGUUACACUAUAUUUUUGACUUAUACUAAAACAAAUAUCGAAAGUAUUAGAACUUAAAUUCCACCCCUUUACUUACACCAAAACAAAUGGCCCCUUAUUAACACG